CCCCGGGCUGUGCGGCUGCGCUGGCGUCUUAGGCUCCAAGGCCCGGCCGCCGCGGCUCUUUUGUUUCCCUGCCGGGGCUCGAGCUUCGAGUCUGGGCCGCAGUCUGGGUCGUGUCAGAGCCGGAGCUGAGUCGGAGUCGGAGUCGGGGCCGGAGCCAGAGCCGAGUCGGAACGGGAGCCGGGCGUCUCAGCCUGUCCGUCCACCAGCGCUCCUCGGAUCCCGGCGAGCGCGGCGCCCGGCCCUCCCUCGGGCCCGCGGGGCUGGGACCCGGCCCAGGCCUGCCCGAUGGGGCGCGCGGCCCCGGCGAUGCGCCCGCGCCCGGUCCUACGAGCCCGGCCCCGCGCGCCCGGCCCACCCGCGUUCCGCGCCUCCGCCUGAGCCCCGCGCGCAGCCCGCCGCGCCCCUCCCCGCGUCCCCGGCCCGCGCGCGCCAUGGAGCCCGGCCGCGGCGGCGUGGAGACCGUGGGCCGCUUCGAGUUCUCGCGCAAGGACCUGAUCGGCCACGGCGCUUUCGCAGUGGUCUUCAAGGGGCGCCACCGCGAGAAGCAUGACCUGGAGGUCGCGGUCAAGUGCAUUAGCAAGAAGAACCUGGCCAAGUCCCAGACGCUGCUGGGGAAGGAAAUCAAAAUUCUCAAGGAGCUGAAGCACGAGAACAUCGUGGCGCUGUACGACUUCCAGGUGAGGCCUGGGGGGGGGGGGGCAGUGUCACCGCCUGACCCGCCUUUCCAGAUCAGUGUCCCCGGCUGUGGAGCUGGGAGCUCCUCGGGGGCCCUGGGUCUUCGGCCCAGAUUUGACCUGGCUCCCCUGGGUGUUGAGCAGCCCUGGGCUUGCGAGCUGCCCGGCUGGGAGGGGAGGGGACUCGGGGUGUUGCGCUGACUGCCUGGGGGCCUCUCCGGGUCUGGACCCCCUUCGUGUGUGGCCAGUGGCCCGGUCUGAGUCUGGCGUCCCAGGCAGGCCCACCUGCCUGGCCCUCGGCUUGUUUGUUGACAGCGCUCCGGCGACCGGGCAUUGGCCAGGGCCUCUCUGCGUCAGACCGGGAGGGGGAGGCGCCGGGAGACUCCGCGCUGGCAGUUGAUGCUGGGCCUGCUGGACGCCGGGGCACCUCAGGCCUGGCGGCCUCCGUAGGCCAGCCGGCAGCUCAGCCGCUCCCCACCUUGCCCCUCUCAGGACCCCGGGGCCAGUGAGGCAGGGCCGGGGCCCAGGUCCCCCGCUUUGGGGCCAGGAGCUGGGGACAGGUCUGCCGGCGAAGUGCUGACUAAUGGUUUCGAAACCUGUUUACGGGGCGGCUCGCGGAGGAACGGCCCUGGCUGAGGGAGGUUCCCGGCAGCCUGUAUCUGGGCCUCCGUCGCUGACUUUCUGCUGUGGGUGUGGGCAGGGCCAGGCCUCCUCUGACAGGGAGUGACACUGUUCCAUGCCCCACCCUCCCGCUUGCCUCCUUGCUCAGCCCUGCUGCCCUGACCCGCCUCUGCUCCUCCAUGCUCGCUCCAUCCUUCCCCUUCCCCCGCCCUGGGUCUGAAGCCUCCAGUGUGCCCCAGGGCAGGGCAGACACCGGCUGGCUCCAGGUGGCUCCCCACAGUGCGGUCUGCUGUCCUGCUGGGGACACCUCGGACUGGGCACUGCCACUCCUCCUCCAGCGUUGGCAAUGCUGUGGCUUCCUCUGCACAGAGGAAAUGCUGAGAAGGCAGCCACAUACCCGGGCGGGCAGCUCUCACCCUGGUGCAGGACUGCCCCGUACCUUAAGAACUUGCUUGGGACGAACACCGGGCCAGAAGAGAUGAUUGGAUUUUAUGUAUUCACUUAUUUGAAGCAAGGCCUUGAACUCAGGACCUUGCGCUCUCAAGGCAGGUGGGGUGCCACCGAGCUACAUCCUUGGCCCAGGGUUUUGUUUUUUCUUUCUUUUUUUGUCCCAGGGAUCGAACUUGGGUCCUUGCGCUUUUGAGGCAGGUGGUAGAACCACUGAGCUAAAUCCCGGGCCUAGGGUUUUGGUUUUUUUUGAGACAGGGUCUCACUAUAUAGUGUAGGCUGUAUACCCAGUCUGGCCUUGAACUAGUGGCAGUCCUCCUGCCUUUGCCUCCAGAGUGCUGGGAUUACAGGCGUGGGGCACCACACCUGGCCCAAUUUGUUUUUAAAAAUAGGUAAACUGGGUGUGGUGACUAUGCUUUUGAUCCCAGCACUUGUGGAGGCUGAGGCAGGAGGAUCAUCUGAGUUCAAGGCCAUCCUGAACUAGUAAGACCUCUCAAAAAAACAGCAUAGGUGAUAAAUGAUCGGGCAAGGGUGUCUCUGAAUUAACACUUUCAGCCACCUGUUAGGCCACAAGGACCCUUCCUUGGGCCUGUCCUCUUGGCCAGCUGUGCUGAGGACUUGAGCUCCUGUGUGUUCAGGGUCAGAACUGCCUGUAAACUCAGUGACAGUGGCCUGUGAGGCUUCUUGGGCAUUGAGGAAAGGAGUACCUUGUGAUAGGGUGUAUGUAGGUGUCCCGGGUUGCUUUCUUUUUUGUGGAGGCUUUUUGUUGUUUGUUAAUUUGAGACAGAGUUCGCUGUGUAGUUCAGGCAGGCCUUGGACUCACUAUGGAGUCCAGGCUGGUGUCAAACUCAUGCUGAUCCUCCUGCCUCAGCCUCCCAAGUACUAGGAUCACAGGCAUGUGCCACCACACGGGGCCUAUUUUUGUUCUGGUGUUGGUUUGUCUGUCUUCUCAGUGUUGAGGAUCAAACUCGGCCUUGUGCAUGCCCAACUCCAGCCCUCCUGUGCUCUUCUGAGCUGCCUGGCUGUGCUCUGGGCCCGUCCUGUGGCUGCUGGGGGAUUGGGAUGGGGUGCUGCUUGCCACUCACUGCCCCCAGAAGAGGGUGACAGGCUGGCAUGCUGCAGCCAGGUGCCGUGCUAGGGAGUGUUAACGCACCUGGGCCCUGCAGACAGCCCUGGUUCCAGCGUUGCCUGUGGCUGACCUGGACGCCUGGGCAGUGCUGCCUUCCUGGAGAGCAGGCAGGGAGUGCAGGCCCUGGAAGUAGGUGCAGGGUGAAGGCGCAGGGGCCCGCAGCCAGCGGUCUUACAUCGGAGUGUGAGCACUGAGGCAUGUUAGGGGCCACGAAGGGAUCAGAGCUUCACGAGUCUUGAAUAAAGUGACAGUGGGGAGGACAACAUUCUCAGUGAGGCCCCUGGCAAAGCAGGCACCUUUGGGAGAGCACGGUGCCCCAGGAGCCACCCGGCCUCUGCCUUCCCGUCUUCCCUCUGAGCCUGGCUGUGCCAGCUGCCUUGCUGGCCUUGGUGCUCUGUAGAAGUGGGGCCGCAGCCUCGGCCGGGAGUGCUGUGUCUGGUGACAGCCGCCUUUCUGCUCCUGGCCCCGUGCUGGCCUGCUAAAGGACUGAUGUCACAUCUGUGCUUGGACCAGGCCCUUCAGCCAGGUGGGCAUGUCUGGCCGAGGGACUUGCUGCCCUGUGCUCCUUGUGCUGCCUGUGUCCCCUGCGUGUCCUGUCGCCCUCCACCACCUUGGGUCAGCAGGGCUGGGCUUGGGACCUGAGGGGACAUCCUGCCACCACUGUGCUUGGCAGGAGCCAGGUGGGCCUUCCCCCUUGGCAGGCCACCUCCCUUCCCUUCUGGGAGCACCCGGAAGAGCGGGGGAUGGGGUGGCUGUGUCCCCAGCAUUGCGGCUUUGCCACCCUCAGCUCUGGAGGAGUGAAGUAGGUCACACCUUCCCGCCCAUCCGCCAUGCCAGCCUGAAUCGCCAGAUGAGUGGGCCAGCGAAGGUGGGGAGCCUGGAUCCUGUUAAGGAUAGGGGCAGGCAGCGCCUACGUGCCCAGGUGCCCAUGCCCACGUGGAUGCCCUGUGCAGCUGCCCUGCCAGGAAGCUGUCCUCUGCCUGGCGUGGGUGCCAGUGGAAGUGGCAGCCCUGUCUCCGAGGUGGCACUUGUGUCGUCCCUCUUAAGGCUUUGUUUUGUCGUCAUGAGCCUUGGUGUGCACUAGAGGGGUUCACCGUGGCAGCCCAGCAGGCCCGGGUCUGUGUCCCAGGCCCAGCAACCUUGCUGUCCCCUCGGGGGGCUGGGAGUGGCGCGGUGAGCCUCGUGUGUCUAGCACCACCAGCAGCCCAGGCCCAUGGUCUCUAGCAAGCAGAGCCCGGGAGCUGCCACCAGUGCCUGUGUGGGCUUCAGGUGGGCUCGGGAGGCUGCUCCGGAUCCAUCCCCAGCUUCGGGCCCUGGAGAGCCACUUCCACAGGGAGGGUGCCCAGGUGGCCAUGGGGACCCUCCUGGCUCGGGCCUGGCUCCACCUCCUGUCACCCUCCUGGGCGGCACUGUGCCUCAGACAGCCCUGUCGGCUAGGCUCUGGCCUUGAGACUAAGGAGGGUGUGAGCCUGCAUGCCCAGGCUGGCCCUGCCACUUCCCAGCUGGGCGGGUCGCCUGGCUCCGUGGGGUGGGGCUGCACUCUGCUCAAUUGUGCCGUGAGGCUUGCGAGAGUUGGGCUUGGGGUCCGGAGCUGGGUCUUCUGAGGCCAGGGCUCUGCAGUGUCAGAGUUGGGGGCUGUCCAGUGCCCUCUCCUGGGUUUAGGGGAAUUCGAGGCUCUUUGAACUUUGCCUUUUAGGGGAUGCAGAGGGCUGCCACGGAGGGGAGGAGAUGGUCCCUGAAGUCUAGGCCAGCAGCUCAGGGAGGUAGCCCACCUCUGGCCAUAGCUGUGUCCUCAGUCUUGCCUCUAUGGCCAGAACCCAAGAGUGGCUCAAGUCCCUCCCUGUGCCCUCUGGCUGUGUCUGUCCCAGGACAAGUGGCCAGUGCUGGCAAGUCCCAGAGGUCCCAUGCUGGGGUCUCCCUGAGGCUGCCCCUGAAACUGUUUUGGGUCCUAUCUGUCACCUCCUGGCCCUGGGCUCUCCUGGGUCUGACUUUUUGUCUCCAGUCUCUGAUCCUCUGUCAAGGUCUGUGUCCUACAUCCUGGUCUCUGACCCUCAGCUCCACCCCGGGGACUCCCUAGCCAAGCCACACCUGCCGGGUGGUUAUCUCUUCCCUGCAGCUGGCCUGGAAGGUCAGGUUGGGGUGGGGCUGAGGCACAAGG
Molecule: long non-coding RNA, 5029 nt
Filed under: Heterocephalus glaber (naked mole-rat)
Lineage: Eukaryota; Metazoa; Chordata; Mammalia; Rodentia; Bathyergidae
Description: lncRNA (ENSHGLG00100034081.1)
Source: RNAcentral